RNAcentral lists this transfer RNA (70 nucleotides) under Rattus norvegicus (Norway rat). It matches the Rfam family "tRNA". From Rfam's summary of the family: Transfer RNA (tRNA) molecules are approximately 80 nucleotides in length. Their secondary structure includes four short double-helical elements and three loops (D, anti-codon, and T loops). Further hydrogen bonds mediate the characteristic L-shaped molecular structure. tRNAs have two regions of fundamental functional importance: the anti-codon, which is responsible for specific mRNA codon recognition, and the 3' end, to which the tRNAs corresponding amino acid is attached (by aminoacyl-tRNA synthetases). tRNAs cope with the degeneracy of the genetic code in two manners: having more than one tRNA (with a specific anti-codon) for a particular amino acid; and 'wobble' base-pairing, i.e. permitting non-standard base-pairing at the 3rd anti-codon position. Lineage: Eukaryota; Metazoa; Chordata; Mammalia; Rodentia; Muridae. The record is from Rfam by way of RNAcentral.
GGGGGUUUAGCUCAGUGGUAGAGCACUUGCCUAGCAAGCACAAGGCCCUGGGUUCAGUCCCCAGCUCCUA